This is a long non-coding RNA of Pan troglodytes (chimpanzee), 452 nucleotides long. RefSeq lists it as uncharacterized. Lineage: Eukaryota; Metazoa; Chordata; Mammalia; Primates; Hominidae. The transcript is spliced from 3 exons. The record is from RefSeq and is a predicted model, not a curated record.
GAACUCCAGAUCCUGCGCCUUGAGCACAAAGUAGGAAGAAUGGCGAUCCCAUGCGAGAGACCUUUAGGGGUCUGAGACUGAUCCAAGUUGUGCUCAACCCACUGCUAUCUUUCUCCUCACUUGGUUCAGUAUUCCUGGAAUAUUUAGCUGCAUGACAGGAUGAAGAUCCACAACUAAAUACCAUUUAGCAUUGAUGGUUCAGUACCGCGGACAGCAGCACUCAUGUUCGGAAUGGGCCUUACUGAAAUCGCAGAGUGACUUUCUUCUUCCAGGUUCUUAUGUAUCUGCUGAUCAGCUUCAAAAAGAUGGGAAAAGCAAAAUCUCACAUAGGGCAAACUUUUGGAUUUCUCUCUGCAAAGAAAUGCUGAACAUUCCUGUUGUUAUUCCAUUCUAUUGGUCUGGGAUCAAGGCUGACGUGAAGAUUCCUUGAAAAGUAUUAAACUCCUCAAUGG